UUAAGUUCAGCGGGUAAUCCUACCUGAUUUGAGGUCAAACUUUCAAUAAGUUGUCCAUGAAAGGACUAUUAGAAGCUGAACAGACAGAGAGCAUUCCAUAGUCUUUGGCGUAGAUAAUUAUCACACCAGUGACGGAUCGCAAACCGUUCCGCUAAUGCAUUUCAGGGGAGCUGAUCCAAUGAAUAGGACCUGCAUAUACC
RNAcentral lists this unclassified non-coding RNA (200 nucleotides) under Agaricales sp. RNAcentral describes it as "partial internal transcribed spacer 2". Lineage: Eukaryota; Fungi; Basidiomycota; Agaricomycetes; Agaricales. The record is from RNAcentral.